ACUAACAAGGAUUCCCCUAGUAACUGCGAGUGAAGCGGGAAGAGCUCAAAUUUGUAAUCUGGCGCAAGCCCGAGUUGUAAUCUAGAGAAGCGUUAUCAGGCGCCGACCGUGUUAAAGUUCCUUGGAACAGGAUGUCAUAGAGGGUGAGAAUCCCGUGCUUGACAUGGCUGCGGUGCUGCAGAGGCGCUCUCGACGAGUCGAGUUGUUUGGGAAUGCAGCUCAAAACGGGUGGUAAACUCCAUCUAAAGCUAAAUAUUGGCGAGAGACCGAUAGCGAACAAGUACCGUGAGGGAAAGAUGAAAAGGACUUUGGAAAGAGAGUUAAAGAGUACGUGAAAUUGCUGAAAGGGAAGCGCUUGGAGUGAGUCGCGCGGGCAGGAGUCAGCCGUCGAGGUGUAUUUCCUGCCUGCGGGUCAGCAUCGACUUCGGGCGGCGAACAAGGGCUCGAGGAAUGUGGCACCUUCGGGUGUGUUAUAGCCUCKUGUCGUACGCGCCGUCUGGGGUCGAGGACCGCGGCGAAAGCCUAGGAUGCUGGCGUAAUGGCUUCAAGCGACCCGUCUUGAAACACGGACCAAGGAGUCUAACAUGCGUGCGAGUGUUUGGGUGGUAAACCCGGGCGCGUAAUGAAAGUAAACGGAGGUGGGAGCUUUGGCGCACCAUCGACCGGUCCGGAACUUCUGGGAUGGAUCUGAGUAAGAGCAUGUAUGUUGGGACCCGAAAGAUGGUGAACUAUGCCUGAAUAGGGCGAAGCCAGAGGAAACUCUGGUGGAGGCUCGUAGCGAUUCUGACGUGCAAAUCGAUCGUCAAAUUUGGGUAUAGGGGCGAAAGACUAAUCGAACCAUCUAGUAGCUG
RNAcentral lists this ribosomal RNA (851 nucleotides) under Dacrymycetes sp. Its description in RNAcentral is "partial 28S ribosomal RNA". It matches the Rfam family "Eukaryotic large subunit ribosomal RNA", at positions 64 to 953 of the family's 3401-position model. The record is from RNAcentral. Lineage: Eukaryota; Fungi; Basidiomycota; Dacrymycetes.